UAGUCCACACCGUAAACGAUGAGAGCUAGUUGUCAGCAGGCAUGCCUGUUGGUGACGCAGCUAACGCAUUAAGCUCUCCGCCUGGGGAGUACGGCCGCAAGGCUAAAACUCAAAUGAAUUGACGGGGGCCCGCACAAGCGGUGGAGCAUGUUGUUUAAUUCGAUGCAACGCGAAGAACCUUACCACCCCUUGACAUCCUCAGAACUUGUUAGAAAUAACUUGGUGCCUUCGGGAACUGAGUGACAGGUGCUGCAUGGCUGUCGUCAGUUCGUGUCGUGAGAUGUUGGGUUAAGUCCCGCAACGAGCGCAACCCUCAUCUUUAGUUGCCAGCAUUUAGUUGGGCACUCUAGAGAAACUGCCGGUGCUAAGCCGGAGGAAGGUGGGGAUGACGUCAAGUCCUCAUGGCCCUUACGGGUAGGGCUACACACGUGCUACAAUGGCGCUGACAGAGGGUUAAUCCCUAAAAGGCGUACUCAGUUCGGAUUGUCUU
This 490-nucleotide ribosomal RNA is filed under the name uncultured bacterium. RNAcentral describes it as "bacterial SSU rRNA". It matches the Rfam family "Bacterial small subunit ribosomal RNA", at positions 791 to 1304 of the family's 1533-position model. The record is from RNAcentral.